Molecule: long non-coding RNA, 1065 nt
Filed under: Ornithorhynchus anatinus (platypus)
Lineage: Eukaryota; Metazoa; Chordata; Mammalia; Monotremata; Ornithorhynchidae
Description: lncRNA (ENSOANG00000040105.1)
Source: RNAcentral
UGUUAGCCUUUGAGGAGAGAGGAAGUCUCCAGGUGGCUAACAGAGAAGCUGGGAAGAUUCUCUCGUCCUCAAGGAGCUCAAGCCUGAGGGAGAAAAGCACCUAAACCAGGAAGGAGAUGUGAAGUCAUGAGACUGGCUGACUCGUAGAGGAUAAGGGUCUCCUGGCCUGAACCACCACAGAACCAGACCGGGAUUCUCAUCCACAGGACGUGGAACCCCCUCCGCCUCCGCCACCCCCUCAAACUGUGAGGGCCGCUGCCUCUUGACGCUCGAGGAUCCCUGCGUGUUCUCUCCCUCCUCGCCUGAUGCCUCCCUCAGAUCCCUUUUCCAGCUCCCACCACCGCCGGGUCUGGAGCGUUGGGAGCACCGGCUCUCCUCCACCACCUCGAAGAGCUUGUCCACGAACUGCCAGGUGGAGUCGUCAAGGAGAGGCUCCAACUGGGUCUCUGCCCUCUUCUGGUCCAACCCCCUCACCAUGCAAUUCAGUGCUGCUGUGACUACCGUGGACUCCGAGAAUCCCAGCACCUCCCUCACCGUCUGCUCGACCCGUGGCUUCAGGCCAUCCAGCUCUCUCUUGGACAGUGCCAUCCCUCAGGGGAGGGGCAGAGAGAACUCUGCGGCCUUCUACCAGACUAUGAGGUCACAGUUGGUGACAGGGUAGCAGUCACAGCCUCAGGAAUAAAGAGCUUUCGAACCAGAACUAUCUCCCUCAAUACUCUAAUUUGGCAGUCCGUUGUUCUAGAUGGGAUUAAGGAAGGCUUUUUUGCUGUUACCUGAGACUUGUAUUUUAGGGAGUUUCAGAAAGUCCUCACCCACACCACGAUGAGGACCUCUGUCCCGUCUGUAUUUAUAUUAGGUCUGCCCCUUUAUCACGCUCGGUAUUCCAGCCAGGGAGCUCGAGUUCACACCUUAUAGGAAGACUCAAGGGUUCUAAUCCCAGCCCCCCUUCAUUCCUGCCGUGUGAACACCUGGGUAAAUCACUUAACUUCUUUGUACCUCAGUUUCCUCCUCUGCCAACUGGGGACUCGAUACCUCUGUCCUUUCUCCUACGGGAAGCAGCGUGGC